GGGAAAUUAGUUCAAAUGGUGGAGUGCUCGCUUAGCAUGUGAGAGGUAGCGGGGAUCGAUGCCCGCGUUCUCCA
Albula glossodonta (roundjaw bonefish) is the source of this 74-nucleotide non-coding RNA. NCBI's taxonomy places the organism in Eukaryota, Metazoa, Chordata, Actinopteri, Albuliformes, Albulidae. The record is from the annotation of a GenBank genome assembly.